RNAcentral lists this ribosomal RNA (254 nucleotides) under uncultured Gardnerella sp. RNAcentral's name for it is "partial 16S ribosomal RNA". It matches the Rfam family "Bacterial small subunit ribosomal RNA", at positions 101 to 354 of the family's 1533-position model. The record is from RNAcentral. Lineage: Bacteria; Bacillati; Actinomycetota; Actinomycetes; Bifidobacteriales; Bifidobacteriaceae.
AACGGGUGAGUAAUGCGCGACCAACCUGCCCCAUGCUCCAGAAUAGCUCUUGGAAACGGGUGGUAAUGCUGGAUGCUCCAACUUGACGCAUGUCUUGUUGGGAAAGUGUUUAGUGGCAUGGGAUGGGGUCGCGUCCUAUCAGCUUGUAGGCGGGGUAAUGGCCCACCUAGGCUUCGACGGGUAGCCGGCCUGAGAGGGCGGACGGCCACAUUGGGACUGAGAUACGGCCCAGACUCCUACGGGAGGCAGCAGGU